AGAGUUUGAUCCUGGCUCAGAUUGAACGCUGGCGGCAUGCCUUACACAUGCAAGUCGAACGGCAGCACGGACUUCGGUCUGGUGGCGAGUGGCGAACGGGUGAGUAAUAUAUCGGAACGUACCCUGGAGUGGGGGAUAACGCAGCGAAAGUUGCGCUAAUACCGCAUACGAUCUACGGAUGAAAGUGGGGGCUCGCAAGACCUCAUGCUCGUGGAGCGGCCGAUAUCUGAUUAGCUAGUUGGUAGGGUAAAAGCCUACCAAGGCAUCGAUCAGUAGCUGGUCUGAGAGGACGACCAGCCACACUGGGACUGAGACACGGCCCAGACUCCUACGGGAGGCAGCAGAGGGGAAUUUUGGACAAUGGGGGCAACCCUGAUCCAGCAAUGCCGCGUGAGUGAAGAAGGCCUUCGGGUUGUAAAGCUCUUUUGUCAGGGAAGAAACGGUGAAGGCUAAUAUCCUUUGCUAAUGACGGUACCUGAAGAA
RNAcentral lists this ribosomal RNA (483 nucleotides) under uncultured bacterium. RNAcentral's name for it is "bacterial SSU rRNA". It matches the Rfam family "Bacterial small subunit ribosomal RNA", at positions 8 to 486 of the family's 1533-position model. The record is from RNAcentral.